RNAcentral lists this transfer RNA (71 nucleotides) under Loxodonta africana (African savanna elephant). It matches the Rfam family "tRNA". From Rfam's summary of the family: Transfer RNA (tRNA) molecules are approximately 80 nucleotides in length. Their secondary structure includes four short double-helical elements and three loops (D, anti-codon, and T loops). Further hydrogen bonds mediate the characteristic L-shaped molecular structure. tRNAs have two regions of fundamental functional importance: the anti-codon, which is responsible for specific mRNA codon recognition, and the 3' end, to which the tRNAs corresponding amino acid is attached (by aminoacyl-tRNA synthetases). tRNAs cope with the degeneracy of the genetic code in two manners: having more than one tRNA (with a specific anti-codon) for a particular amino acid; and 'wobble' base-pairing, i.e. permitting non-standard base-pairing at the 3rd anti-codon position. The record is from Rfam by way of RNAcentral. Lineage: Eukaryota; Metazoa; Chordata; Mammalia; Proboscidea; Elephantidae.
GCUUUGGUGGUUCAGUGGUAGAAUUCUCACCUUCAGUGCAGGAGACCCGGGUUCAAUUCCAGGCCAAUGCC